This 253-nucleotide ribosomal RNA is filed under the name uncultured Clostridium sp. RNAcentral describes it as "partial 16S ribosomal RNA". It matches the Rfam family "Bacterial small subunit ribosomal RNA", at positions 524 to 776 of the family's 1533-position model. RNAcentral also lists the same sequence under 1 other name. The record is from RNAcentral. Lineage: Bacteria; Bacillati; Bacillota; Clostridia; Eubacteriales; Clostridiaceae.
UACGUAGGUGGCAAGCGUUGUCCGGAAUUACUGGGUGUAAAGGGCGUGUAGGCGGGAAUGUAAGUCAGAUGUGAAAUCCCAGGGCUUAACCCUGGAGCUGCAUCUGAAACUAUGUUUCUUGAGUGUCGGAGAGGAAAGCGGAAUUCCUAGUGUAGCGGUGAAAUGCGUAGAUAUUAGGAGGAACACCAGUGGCGAAGGCGGCUUUCUGGACGAUAACUGACGCUGAGGCGCGAAAGCGUGGGGAGCAAACAGG